UACGUAGGUGGCAAGCGUUGUCCGGAAUUAUUGGGCGUAAAGCGCGCGCAGGUGGUUUGAUAAGUCAGAAGUAAAAGGCUGUGGCUCAACCAUAGUGCGCUUUUGAAACUGUCAAACUUGAGUGCAGAAGGGGGGAGUGGAAUUCCAUGUGUAGCGGUGAAAUGCGUAGAUAUAUGGAGGAACACCGGUGGCGAAGGCGGCCCCCUGGACAAAGACUGACGCUCAGGUGCGAAAGCGUGGGGAGCAAACAGG
RNAcentral lists this ribosomal RNA (252 nucleotides) under uncultured bacterium. RNAcentral's name for it is "partial 16S ribosomal RNA". It matches the Rfam family "Bacterial small subunit ribosomal RNA", at positions 524 to 776 of the family's 1533-position model. The record is from RNAcentral.